RNAcentral lists this ribosomal RNA (784 nucleotides) under uncultured Neocallimastigales. RNAcentral describes it as "partial large subunit ribosomal RNA". It matches the Rfam family "Eukaryotic large subunit ribosomal RNA", at positions 22 to 639 of the family's 3401-position model. Lineage: Eukaryota; Fungi; Neocallimastigomycota; Neocallimastigomycetes; Neocallimastigales. The record is from RNAcentral.
CAUAGCGACUAUCGUGGCAUAUCAAUAAGCGGAGGAAAAGAAACUAACAAGGAUUCCCUUAGUAACGGCGAGUGAAGCGGGAAGAGCUCAAAUUUGAAAUCUUCAAGGGUUCUACCUUGACGAAUUGUAGUUUAAAGAAGUGUUUUCUGUUAGAGAGUUUGGUAAAAGUUCUUUGGAAUAGGACAUCAUAGAGGGUGAGAAUCCCGUAUUUGACAUCACUUUCUACUAGCUGUGUGCGAUACACUUUCAAAGAGUCGGAUUGUUUGGGAAUGCAGUCCAAAAUGGGUGGUAAAUUUCAUCUAAAGCUAAAUAUUGGCGAGAGACCGAUAGCGAACAAGUACCGUGAGGGAAAGAUGAAAAGAACUUUGAAAAGAGAGUUAAACAGUACGUGAAAUUGUCAAAAGGGAAGCGUUUGACACCAGUGUUGUUUAGUUGAAAAUCAAUUCAAUAUUUUUCGAUUUUGAAGUAGUAUUGACCUUCAUCAGCUUGCUGCUUUCUUUUCGGAAAUUAUUUAAUGCACUUUUCAGUUAACAAGUCAACAUCAAUUUCUUUUGUUGUAAAAGGGUAAGAGGAAGGUGGCUUACGCUUCGGCGUAAGUGUUUAUAGCCUUUUACCUCUGCAAUCGGAGAGAUUGAGGACAGCAGCGUAGACUCUUCGGGGUUAGAUACACUUGUGCUAAGCUAUAGCCUUGUAUAGACAACUUGUUGACUAUGCUCAGUCAUGUAGCUUACUCGCUUAGUGCUAUUUUACCUACGCUUAGGAUGUUGACGCGCGUGUGUGCGUG